Molecule: ribosomal RNA, 468 nt
Filed under: uncultured bacterium
Lineage: Bacteria
Description: partial 16S ribosomal RNA
Rfam family: Bacterial small subunit ribosomal RNA
Source: RNAcentral
GACGAACGCUGGCGGCGUGCUUAACACAUGCAAGUCGAACGGAAAGGCCCUGCUUUUGUGGGGUGCUCGAGUGGCGAACGGGUGAGUAACACGUGAGUAACCUGCCCUUGACUUUGGGAUAACUUCAGGAAACUGGGGCUAAUACCGGAUAGGAGCUCCUGCUGCAUGGUGGGGGUUGGAAAGUUUCGGCGGUUGGGGAUGGACUCGCGGCUUAUCAGCUUGUUGGUGUGGUAGUGGCUUACCAAGGCUUUGACGGGUAGCCGGCCUGAGAGGGUGACCGGCCACAUUGGGACUGAGAUACGGACCAGACUCCUACGGGAGGCAGCAGUGGGGAAUAUUGCACAAUGGGCGGAAGCCUGAGGCAGCAACGCCGCGUGCGGGAUGACGGCCUUCGGGUUGUAAACCGCUUUCGCCUGUGACGAAGCGUGAGUGACGGUAAUGGGUAAAGAAGCACCGGCUAACUACGUG